This 279-nucleotide unclassified non-coding RNA is filed under the name Hevea brasiliensis (rubber tree). The record is from RNAcentral. Lineage: Eukaryota; Viridiplantae; Streptophyta; Magnoliopsida; Malpighiales; Euphorbiaceae.
AAACCUUAACAAAGGACAAAGCCAAGUACAUUCACGCAUGAACCUAAAACAAAAGGCCCGUAAAACAAGCCUUCUCUUUGGACUACUCCCAUCCACCAGCACCAGGAAGCACAGACGACUCUGAAGUCUACACCCAAUGGCAAUUCAGUCACAAAGACGUGGGAAAGUUCCACCGUGGUCAGAUAGUUUCACUAAAUCCAUCUCUUGAACGCCAUGUAGAACACUCCUGAAAAGGCAUUGAAAUGCUUCGGCAAAAAGGAUUUACCAUAUUGGCACAAU